Molecule: ribosomal RNA, 253 nt
Filed under: uncultured bacterium
Lineage: Bacteria
Description: partial 16S ribosomal RNA
Rfam family: Bacterial small subunit ribosomal RNA
Source: RNAcentral
UACGUAGGGUGCAAGCGUUAAUCGGAAUUACUGGGCGUAAAGCGUGCGCAGGCGGUUCGCUAAGACAGAUGUGAAAUCCCCGGGCUUAACCUGGGAACUGCAUUUGUGACUGCAUGGCUAGAAUCUGGCAGAGGGGGGUAGAAUUCCACGUGUAGCAGUGAAAUGCGUAGAUAUCUGGAGGAACACCGGUGGCGAAGGCGGCAUCCUGGACCAACACUGACGCUGAGGAGCGAAAGCCAGGGGAGCAAACGGG